Long non-coding RNA from Rosa rugosa (rugosa rose), 1695 nucleotides. RefSeq lists it as uncharacterized. Lineage: Eukaryota; Viridiplantae; Streptophyta; Magnoliopsida; Rosales; Rosaceae. The transcript is spliced from 3 exons. The record is from RefSeq and is a predicted model, not a curated record.
CGGAUGGGAUUCGGCUUCUCUGCUAGAAUUCAUUUUGCUAGGAUCUGCUUGGAUAACACUCUCAGCUCGCCACGUGUUACUGGUUCAAUCUAAGGGCUAUAAUGCUUACAACACAGAAAGCCUGGACUCCUCGCAUCUCCCUCUCUCUCUCUUCCCCUCAUCAUCUAGUCGUGAACUGAAGCCGAGUCCGAUCUCUCGACUCCUCACUUAACUCUCAAGAUUUUCCAGAUGAUGGGGAAGACUCACACCGUGGCUUAGAGAAGAGAAAUGGGUUUAGCUUCACAUGGGAGAAACCUUGCAUUUCAGAUUGGUAAUCCAAAAUCAAGGCUUUUGAUUCGGGUCCACUACUACUGCAGUUAUAAAUCAGAGAGUAAAAAGCAAGAGGAUGAUGAAACAGUGAGGGAAAUCUGUACCAUUCCGAAGCGAAGCAGAGAGUGGGAGUCCGUGUUGAGCUCAUCAGGGUUUCCCAAGAAGCUAAACCCUUGUGUGGUUCGAUCCGUUCUUCAACAACACCACCAGGUUCGUCAACAUCUUCAUUCAUUUUUUCUGUACUAUAUGCAGCAAAAGAUAUUCUAUCAAGUGUAGGGAAGAAAACGGUGGAGUACACGGUGCCAUUAGCAGAGAAAACUAAAGAAAUGGCUGUGUUUGCAGGUAAGACCACUCUGCAUUAUGUUGGUCAUGUUGCGGUGGAUUUGAAGGACAAGGCCGUUGUGGCAGGUUGGACUGCAGCGCACGACGGAACUGAGGCACCAGUGGAGGGAACCAAAGCAGCUGCAAGAGUAGUUGCCAGAGCAGCAGGGUAUGCUGGUCAUGAGGCUGUGGAUAUUGUGUCCAAGCCUUUUGAGUGCUGCUAAAGAUGCUCCGCUGUGGUGACUGGUGAGAAAGUUGAGGAGUUCACUGCUCGGAAGAAGGUAGAGGCGAAGAGAGAAUAUGAGGCCAAGAAAGCAGCUGAAGCAAAUAGGCCCAAGGGUUCUGAGACUACUUAUCAAGGAGGAGAAUCCAAAUGCUGGGAGCAAGAGGAGACAUGGACGAAACCAGUUCAGAGGGAAUCUCAGCAUAUGCAGAGUGGCAGACCAACUGAAAAAACCAACCAGAAACUGCACAGUUAGAGAGGGAGCGCGAGAGGGCAGUACCUGGGUCCUGGGAACAAUCGGCAGGACUUGAGGUGUGAUACCGAGAGCUGUUAGUGAGACAUGAGAUUGAACGAGAUGUAUGAUAUGGGUUUGAAUCGUGACCGCACCUUGUACAUUGCUUUGAUUGAUGGAUUCUUGAAAGAAAAUAACGUGGAUAAGGCCCUCAGGAUCAAAGAAGAGAUGGUCGCUCGAGGAGUUAAGUUGUGCGGUGUCACAUAUAAAGUGAUUUUUGCAGGGAUCUGUAAAAUAGGUAAGAUGGAGAAGGCAGAAUCUCUUUUGAAUGAGAUGAAUGCUAUGGGAAUUGAACCUAAUACCCAGACAUAUAACUAUUUAAUUGAUGGGUACUGUCGGGAGCAAAAUGUAAACAAGGCUUAUGCAUUACUUAAUGAGAUGAAGCAAAGGUUGUAAGUUAUGGAGUGAGGAGUCUAUUAAUAACAUCAUCUUGUAGUUUCUAUUUAUGAAAAGGUUGUGGAGGACUCCAAUUUGGAGUGAAUUAAUAUGAAAAGUUUCUAUGUAUGAAUAAAUUCUGCAGAGUAUAUGAGAAUUUCAUUUUUUAUCUUAA